GCUCAUUCCGAAAUGGGGAGCACUGAAAUUUUGGAAAAGGAGACCCCAGAAAAUCUCAGUAAUGGUACCAGCAGCAAUGUGGAAGCAGCCAAAAGGUUGGCCAAACGCCUUUAUCAGCUGGACAGAUUCAAAAGAUCAGAUGUUGCAAAACACCUUGGCAAGAACAAUGAAUUUAGCAAACUAGUUGCAGAAGAAUAUCUGAAGUUUUUUGAUUUUACAGGAAUGACGCUGGAUCAGUCACUCAGGUAUUUCUUUAAAGCGUUUUCUCUUGUGGGAGAAACUCAAGAACGAGAGAGAGUUUUAAUACACUUCUCCAAUAGAUAUUUUUACUGUAACCCAGAUACCAUUGCUUCACAAGAUGGAGUCCAUUGCCUUACCUGUGCAAUAAUGCUUCUUAAUACCGAUCUACAUGGCCAUGUAAGUGUGAAUUUGUGAAACUUAGAUCCAAAACAUGUCGGGCUUAUCUCUGCUUUUGUGUUCAUACACAUUUAUUUUCUGCCUCCCUUUUUCUCAUUCUCUACAUGGUUCCCAUGGCAGGUGAAUAAAAAUAAAUCUUUGAAAAAA
Molecule: small RNA, 564 nt
Filed under: Pongo abelii (Sumatran orangutan)
Lineage: Eukaryota; Metazoa; Chordata; Mammalia; Primates; Hominidae
Description: retained intron
Source: RNAcentral